GUCAUGAUAGCUCAAUUGGUUAGAGCAGCGGCUUAUUUAGCCGAAGGUCGCGGGUUCGAAUCCCGCUCGUCACA
RNAcentral lists this non-coding RNA (74 nucleotides) under Cimex lectularius (bed bug). RNAcentral describes it as "tRNA". It matches the Rfam family "tRNA". From Rfam's summary of the family: Transfer RNA (tRNA) molecules are approximately 80 nucleotides in length. Their secondary structure includes four short double-helical elements and three loops (D, anti-codon, and T loops). Further hydrogen bonds mediate the characteristic L-shaped molecular structure. tRNAs have two regions of fundamental functional importance: the anti-codon, which is responsible for specific mRNA codon recognition, and the 3' end, to which the tRNAs corresponding amino acid is attached (by aminoacyl-tRNA synthetases). tRNAs cope with the degeneracy of the genetic code in two manners: having more than one tRNA (with a specific anti-codon) for a particular amino acid; and 'wobble' base-pairing, i.e. permitting non-standard base-pairing at the 3rd anti-codon position. Lineage: Eukaryota; Metazoa; Arthropoda; Insecta; Hemiptera; Cimicidae. The record is from Rfam by way of RNAcentral.